This is a long non-coding RNA of Clupea harengus (Atlantic herring), 1322 nucleotides long. Lineage: Eukaryota; Metazoa; Chordata; Actinopteri; Clupeiformes; Clupeidae. The record is from Ensembl.
GCACUGCAGUGGGCAUAAACACACACACACACACAAGCCCCCAUAAGUGAUAAGCUGCAAUAAGGCUCCGGAUGCUUGCUAAUCUUCUCAACAUGAUUUUCCAUACUGGUUUACCAAACAUGCUGCUGGAUUAAAGACAUUCUAUUAAAGCAAAGGGCUUAGCAUAUGGCGCAAGGAGAACCCAACAGAAGUUGGGAAUUAGCCAUGUUCUCUCAAUAGCCUUUUAACCGCAUUUACUGUUCACUCUUGGAUCAUGUGUAGUGAGGGGAAAAAGAUAGCAAAAAAAGGGAAGGGUUUUGGAUUACUGUGUUACAGGAUUCCCACCUAACCAACCCCCCUUCACUCCCCCACAGACUGGAUGGUUCUGUGCAUGUAGCCUUAGAACAGAAAACACUAAAGGCGGAAGGAUUUUUUUCUUCUUCUUUUGGCAGACGGUUGGGUCCAAACAGCAGGGAAAAAUAUGCUUAGGUUAGGAUUAUGUAGGGCUGCAGUGCUAUGUGUUUGAUCAUGGUCCAGAUGUGGCCAUCCGAGAGACCUAAACAGGCCUUUUUUCUCUCGUUUUUAUAUAAUUUGGGGUGUUAAUUACUCACCCUGCACUUGUCUCUGGGGCAACGCAUUGCACUGUGGGCUACGGCCAAUUAUAGCAAAAGGGCCUAGCGAGCAAAUCCUGACACACUGCAUUGAGUAAAGCAAUAACAUACAGAAGUUAUGACUGGUCGAGUGCAAUAAAAUCUAACCCUUAAUAUUUAAUGUAGAUCCAUUAUUGAUGAGGUGUAAAAAACACAGUCUAAAUAAAGGUAAACCCACUUGUGGUGUGCCCUUGCGGUUUCAUGAAGAUUUAUUUUUUAUAAAUAAAAGAAAAAAAAAGAACAGAUAAAACAAUUCUCAACAAAUGUAAAGCCUCUUCCUCUGUAUGCAGUGAACGCUGUGUAACAUGGACUCAUAGUGUCUCUGAUAGUGGCUCGUGUUCCUGACCAUGGCUGCAUGUGUGUGUGUUGCACUAUCAUCUCCCCUGACAUUAUAGUGAUCACCGCGGGGAGCAAGAUUCUGCCUGGGUGCACUCUAAUGCAUAAUUGUACCAGGCAGCAGCCGUUCCUGCUACCGGCACAGUUAGGCUUCGAGUGUGUGCCGCUCAGUGGAGGGUGGAUGGGCAGAUGUCUCAGAGGACUGUAGACAGUCGGCGCACCUCAGCCUCUUCUGGGCUCCAGCUCCGGCUCCCGCUGCAGCACCAUAUGGGCCAGCGCAGACGCCCGUGAGAGAGGCAGAGAUGCCCCCCUGCAGGUACCACCCUGGUCAGGUAAGUUCUGCAUGGCGACGAAGCA